GGCAAGUGUAAAUUUGUGGCCUCUCCAAUGGUUUGGCAUAUGGACUUGGCAAAACUAAAAAAGUAGGCCCACUUCCAACCUCCCUCAACUGAUUCCAGUCCGACGUUUCACCUGGGCGCCCGAUCGACAUCACUCAUCGCCUGGCCGCCACUGACCUCACGCGCGCCGCCACACAUGUUAUCUGUGAUUGAUAUAUAUAUAUAUAUAUAUAUAUAUAUAUAUAUAUAUAUAUAUAUAUAUAUAUAUACCGGUUGUUUCUGUCAGGUGUGCACAAUCUGUCAGUACCGGCAGCUGGUGUUCCUUGGCGAUUUGCCUGCCACGCUGCUACUGCACCAUCGCAAGGACAAACUGAGACUGCAUCAGCUGCUGUUGCCGUCCAUCAUCAAUGUUUGCCGGCCACUCGCACUACUACACGACACAGCAGCACGGUGAAGUUUCCAUCUGCGCGCGGGAGAGGAGGCGGGGUCGGGAUUUCGGGCGAUGGCAACGCGAUGGCAAGUCCCCCAACGCGCGCAAAUAUCCGCGUGAAGGACCGGUGGAUGCCAAGUUUGGAAAAUUUGCCAACCUAUAUACCAAACUGUUGGACCUAGAUUUUUUCUAAUUUUGCCAAAAAAACAAGGAU
This 622-nucleotide long non-coding RNA is filed under the name Sorghum bicolor (sorghum). RNAcentral's name for it is "long non-coding RNA (SBIC_LNC001645)". Lineage: Eukaryota; Viridiplantae; Streptophyta; Magnoliopsida; Poales; Poaceae. The record is from RNAcentral.